Long non-coding RNA from Biomphalaria glabrata, 744 nucleotides. RefSeq lists it as uncharacterized. The transcript is spliced from 3 exons. NCBI's taxonomy places the organism in Eukaryota, Metazoa, Mollusca, Gastropoda, Planorbidae. The record is from RefSeq and is a predicted model, not a curated record.
GCAGACAGCUGGAUUUUCUCUUUCAAAGGCCGCGGGACACACAUUUAAGGCCAAACGAAAAUCUACUGCCGAGGACUGAUGUCGACGGCGAAAAGAAAAUCCACCAAAAUGGAAAAUGGUUUUGUCUACGCUGAAUGUGGCAAAAUAUGUAGGCCGCAGCUGGGACUGGUUAACCACGGGAAAUACUGCAUACCUAAUUAAUCUUCGGACUCGAAGACACGCCUUAUUAUCAGUAUAUUGAACGAAUUCCAACUGCUACAUUAGUUUUACACGUAACGUAAUUCAUUCAAGCGAAGCAAAACAUUGCAUUGACCGGAAGUUAAUAGUUUGAGGCCACCUAGAUCUAGAAUAGACCUACUUUGAGUGGAAGCAGACGUGUUGUUGUUAUUGGUGUUCUAGUGUACAAUAUUUCUUUUUUGGAUAAUUUAAUGUGAUUCAACUAUUGGAUAUUCCUUACAACUUGGAUUAUUGAAAUAGCACGGAUUAUUGGAGCAGAUUGGAUUAUUUAUUACUCAAAGACUUUGCGAUCAAUAUGGCAGAUGAUGUAAAGGUCAUCUGUUUCUGUGGCACACGGUUAAUGAGGGUGUCAUGUGGCUAUCUUGAUACAGUCUCUAAUCUAAUGAGCUUCAAUGUUAAUCAGCUAAGUAAAAAUCAUUUCACCCGUUCCAUGUAAAUAUGCACCUGCAACUCAACUAUACGUUUACCUUGCUUAUUGAGGUAAUUAGUAAAACGGUGGACAGUCGU